AACUACGAUAUGCCUCGGUUAGCUGUAAGUAAGCUUACCCGGGGGUUUCCGAAUGGGGCAACCCGAUCUUAAUGAUCAUCAUCUUUUUGAAUUCAUAGAUUAGAUGAAGCAAACGCUGUGAACUGAAACAUCUAAGUAGCAGUAGGAAAGUAAAGAAAUUUCGAUUCCGUCAGUAGCGGCGAGCGAACGCGGAAGAGCCCAAACCUGGAUGCUUGCAUCCAGGGGUUGUAGGACUGAUGUUGAGUUACAAAGGUAUAAGAUAGCAGAAACAGUUGGGAAGCUGUUCCAAAGAGGGUGACAGGCCCGUAUGCGAAAUCUUGUACUCUCUAAUCAGGAUCCUGAGUACGGCCCAGCACGUGAAAUUGGGUCGGAAUCUGGGAGGACCAUCUCCCAAGGCUAAAUACUAACUAGUGACCGAUAGCGAACAAGUACCGUGAGGGAAAGGUGAAAAGAACCCCGGAAGGGGAGUGAAAUAGUUCUUGAAACCGUGUGCUUACAAGAAGUUCGAGGCCGUUAAUGGCUGAGAGCGUGCUUUUUGUAGAAUGAACCGGAGAGUUACGAUUGCGUGCAAGGUUAAGGUGCAAAGACUGGAGCCGUAGCGAAAGCGAGUCUUAAUAGGGCGAAUCAGUACGUAGUUGUAGACCCGAAACCGAGUGACCUAUCCAUGGUCAGGUUGAAGGUGGGGUAAUACCUACUGGAGGACCGAACAAGUGGGUGUUAAAAAACCCUUUGAUGAACUGUGGAUAGCGGUGAAAUUCCAAUCGAACUCGGAGAUAGCUGGUUCUAUCCGAAAUACAUUUAGGUGUAGCCUUGCAAUUAGCUUACUGGAGGUAGAGCACUAUUUGGUCUAGGGGCCCUUCAAGGGUUACCAAAAUCAGAUAAACUCCGAAUGCCAGCUAAGUAUGUGCAGGAGUCAGACGGUGAGUGAUAAGAUCCAUCGUCAAAAGGGGAACAGCCCAGAUCACCAGUUAAGGUCCCUAAAUAUAUGCUAAGUGGAAAACGUUGUGAAGGUGCAUAGACAACUAGGAGGUUGGCUCAGAAGCAGCCACCCUUUAAAGAGUGCGUAAUAGCUCACUAGUCAAGUGCUCUUGCGCGGAUAAUGUACCGGGGCUAAGCAUAUUACCGAAACUGUGGAUGCGUAAGCAUGGUAGGAUAGCGUAAUUAACGCGAUGAAGGAUGACCGUAAGGACAUGUUGGAGCGUUAACUAGUGAGAAUUCCGGUAUGAGUAGCGAAAGAUAGGUGAGAAUCCUAUCCACCGAAUGAGUAAGGUUUCCCCCGGAAGGCUCGUCCGCGGGGGGUUAGUCGGGACCUAAGGCGAGGCUGAAAAGCGUAGUCGAUGGACAACAGGUUGAUAUUCCUGUACCGAUAUUUAAUUGCCGAAGGAAGGACGCAGAAGGAUAACACAGGCCACUAUUGGAUGUGGUUUUAAACAGUUAGUCUUCAUAAGAGUCAAAUGCUUUUAUGUUUAAGGAUAAGCUGUGAAUGUACCAAGUUUACUUGGAAAUUGUGUGAUUUCACGCUGCUGAAAAAAGUUUCGUAGGAAGAAAAUAUUGCCCGUACCGCAAACCGACACAGGUACUCAAGUGGAGAACACUAAGGUGAGCGAGUGAACUAUUGUUAAGGAACUCUGCAAAAUGAGUCCGUAACUUCGGAAGAAGGACUGCUGGUUUUAUACCAGCCGCAGCAAAUAGGCCCAAACAACUGUUUAUCAAAAACACAGGUUUCUGCAAAAUCGUAAGAUGAAGUAUAGGGGCUGACGCCUGCCCAGUGCUGGAAGGUUAAAAGGAGGACUUAGCUUCGGCGAAGGUCUUAAUUGAAGCCCCAGUGAACGGCGGCCGUAACUAUAACGGUCCUAAGGUAGCGAAAUUCCUUGUCGGGUAAGUUCCGACCCGCAUGAAAGGCGUAAUGAUUUGGGCGCUGUCUCAACAAUAGACUCGGUGAAAUUUAAAUUCCAGUGAAGAUGCUGGGUACCCGCGACAGGACGGAAAGACCCCGUGGAGCUUUACUGUAGCUUGAUAUUGAAUGUUUGUGCUGCAUGUGCAGGAUAGGUAGGAGACUUUGAAGUCGGAACGCUAGUUUCGAUUGAGUCACC
This 2093-nucleotide ribosomal RNA is filed under the name Oenococcus oeni. Its description in RNAcentral is "bacterial LSU rRNA". It matches the Rfam family "Bacterial large subunit ribosomal RNA", at positions 64 to 2190 of the family's 2925-position model. The record is from RNAcentral. Lineage: Bacteria; Bacillati; Bacillota; Bacilli; Lactobacillales; Lactobacillaceae.